GAGUAGCGCGACGGGUGAGUACACGUGGGCAAUCUGCCCUUUAGACUGGGAUAAACACCGGGAAACCGUGCUAAUACCGGAUGAGAUCUUUUGUGGCAUCACCGGAAGAUGAAAGGAGGCCUCUCGAAGAAGCUCCCGCUAAAGGAUGAGCCCGCGGCCCAUUAGCUGGUUGGUAGGGUAAUGGCCUACCAAGGCGACGAUGGGUAGCCGGCCUGAGAGGGUGAACGGCCACACUGGGACUGAGACACGGCCCAGACUCCUACGGGAGGCAGCAGUGGGGAAUAUUGCGCAAUGGGGGAAACCCUGACGCAGCAACGCCGCGUGAACGACGAAGGCCUUCGGGUCGUAAAGUUCUGUCAAGUGGGACGAAGGCUGCAUUGUGAACAGCGAUGCAGAUGACGGUACCUAAAGAGGAAGCUCCGGCUAACUACGUGCCAGCAGCCGCGGUAAUACGUAGGGAGCGAGCGUUGUCCGGAAUUACUGGGCGUAAAGGGCGCGUAGGCGGCCGAUUAAGUUAGAUGUGAAAAACCGGGGCUCAACUCCGGGAUGGCAUUUAAGACUGGUCGGCUUGAGGGUGAGAGAGGAAAGUGGAAUUCCUAGUGUAGCGGUGAAAUGCGUAGAUAUUAGGAGGAACACCAGUGGCGAAGGCGACUUUCUGGCUCAUACCUGACGCUGAGGCGCGAAAGCGUGGGAAGCAAACAGGAUUAGAUACCCUGGUAGUCCACGCCGUAAACGAUGAGUACUAGGUGUAGGAGGUAUCGACUCCUUCUGUGCCGCAGCUAACGCAUUAA
Molecule: ribosomal RNA, 791 nt
Filed under: uncultured bacterium
Lineage: Bacteria
Description: bacterial SSU rRNA
Rfam family: Bacterial small subunit ribosomal RNA
Source: RNAcentral